GAUGAACGCUGGCGGCGUGCCUAAUACAUGCAAGUCGAGCGAACAGAUGAGGAGCUUGCUCCUCUGACGUUAGCGGCGGACGGGUGAGUAACACGUGGAUAACCUACCUAUAAGACUGGGAUAACUUCGGGAAGCCGGAGCUAAUACCGGAUAAUAUAUUGAACCGCAUGGUUCAAUAGUGGAAGACGGUUUUGCUGUCACUUAUAGAUGGAUCCGCGCCGCAUUAGCUAGUUGGUAAGGUAACGGCUUACCAAGGCAACGAUGCGUAGCCGACCUGAGAGGGUGAUCGGCCACACUGGAACUGAGACACGGUCCAGACUCCUACGGGAGGCAGCAGUAGGGAAUCUUCCGCAAUGGGCGAAAGCCUGACGGAGCAACGCCGCGUGAGUGAUGAAGGUCUUCGGAUCGUAAAACUCUGUUAUUAGGGAAGAACAAAUGUGUAAGUAACUAUGCACGUCUUGACGGUACCUAAGCAGAAAGCCACGGCUAACUACGU
This 496-nucleotide ribosomal RNA is filed under the name uncultured bacterium. Its description in RNAcentral is "partial 16S ribosomal RNA". It matches the Rfam family "Bacterial small subunit ribosomal RNA", at positions 28 to 506 of the family's 1533-position model. The record is from RNAcentral.